UCCAUCUCGUGGGGAGGACUGAAGAAGUGGGGGUGGAAUCAGGCUGUGAGGCACAGAGUGGAGGGAAGAAUGAAAGCACUUGCCUGCAUUUCUCUGUGUCUUUGGUAUCAAGAUGGGUCUGAAAGGGCAAUGGUGUUUUCCUUGGUCUGGUCCUCGGAGGCAGCGAGGGAACCAAAGGGGAACAGCCCUGACUUUGGCCUCCCAUCCAGACUCUAAUCAGGCCAGGGGGCACCCCCUGCCUGGAGGAGGACCCCCUCUGGGAGACAGUGCCUACUUCAGCAGCAAAGCUCGACUCUCCUUCCGUCACCAGCUGCAUGCCACAACUUCGGCCAACGACUCUACCAACUGAAGUCUGGUGGGGACUGACAACUCCUAGGUGGCCGUCAAAUCCUGACCUUACAUGUCCCACUUCUCAUUAAAUCUAUCCAUUGAUAGCCA
Vombatus ursinus (common wombat) is the source of this 438-nucleotide long non-coding RNA. RefSeq lists it as uncharacterized. NCBI's taxonomy places the organism in Eukaryota, Metazoa, Chordata, Mammalia, Diprotodontia, Vombatidae. The record is from RefSeq and is a predicted model, not a curated record. The transcript has 3 exons.